Long non-coding RNA from Tyto alba (common barn owl), 276 nucleotides. RefSeq lists it as uncharacterized. The record is from RefSeq and is a predicted model, not a curated record. The transcript is spliced from 2 exons. NCBI's taxonomy places the organism in Eukaryota, Metazoa, Chordata, Aves, Strigiformes, Tytonidae.
AGAAAAUGGAAAGUGAUUCUAUCCUCAGACAGUAGUUGCAAUUGUCUUUGGUUUCUGCAACUUGCAGCAGUGGACCAGGGAGCUGGAGAGGGCCUCAUAAAAAUCUGCCAGUCCUUCCAUGGCCUGUGUAAGAACCUGGUUGCUGCAAAGCCUCCUGACUCUUUUCACAAAUAAUGGCAGAAUUCCCAUCCUUUUCCUCUUGUCUCACUCCACCGUUAUGUAAUCCUAUAGUGUGUGUGGCACACAAGCUAAGAACUAUGAACAGAUUGAAAAUUU